UUAAUUGUGCAUUCUUUUUUUAAAGGACUGCCUUCAAUUUGUCUCAUUUCCGUCCUCAUUGCCCCAUCAUUUCAGUCACUAGAGAUAGAGAAGUCGCUCACAUUUGCCAUCUCUAUCGUGGCAUACAUCCACUGGUCUUCCCUCAUCCAAAGAAUGAAUCAGACUGGGCAGACGAUAUGGAGAAGAGGUUCCAUUACGCCAUUGAGUGGGGGAAAAAGAAAGGGGUCAUACAGAAAGGCUCAACCAUUAUUGCUCUUAGUGGUUGGAGGCCUGGACCAGCUAAUACAAACACUAUUAGGAUCUUAAUUGUGGAGUAACAGACUUAAGCCUUCUCCCAUUGCUGACACUCAUUAUGUAGCUACGUUAUAAUACAUAGUCAAAGUUAGCUUAGCUUGUAGUGUGUAAUCUUCUGCUGCUGUUAUAAUAGUCAAGUUAUUAGUAUUAUUUGAUUAGAAUUUUAAAAAAUACACACUUGUGCUUUAUAAUUA
Long non-coding RNA from Amphimedon queenslandica, 488 nucleotides. RefSeq lists it as uncharacterized. Lineage: Eukaryota; Metazoa; Porifera; Demospongiae; Haplosclerida; Niphatidae. The transcript is spliced from 2 exons. The record is from RefSeq and is a predicted model, not a curated record.